Long non-coding RNA from Capsicum annuum, 1580 nucleotides. RefSeq lists it as uncharacterized. Lineage: Eukaryota; Viridiplantae; Streptophyta; Magnoliopsida; Solanales; Solanaceae. The transcript is spliced from 2 exons. The record is from RefSeq and is a predicted model, not a curated record.
GGUACAAUCCAACAGCUUAGCCUUAUCCUCCAUCGAUUUUUCCAAAAAUUCAAUUAGAAAUCUCGAUCUCAUAUCGCUCAAAUUAGGUGAGUCGAAUUUGUUUCCUUAUAAAUAAACUCUCUAUCCCACUGAUUAGAGGUUGAACGCUAAGGGCUGGUCAAAAGCGAAAAACUCUAAAGUAAGUAAGGAAGUUUGGCUAAUAACUCGGAUACAUUCAUGUAAGACCGUUGACAGCUUAGGAUUUCGGCUAAAAAAUUAAUUCGAGUUUUCUGACGGUGGUGAAAGAUUCCGAUAAAGCUUGUAGUCUGCUUUGCUGCUUUGGAAAAGAAGUUGAACACUAAGGGCUGAUUAAAAGCGACAAAACUCCAAAGUAAGUAUGGGUGGUUUGCUAAUAACUAGGAUACAUCCAUGUAAGACUGUUGACAGUUUAGAAUUUCGGCUAAGAAAUUUAAUUCGAAUUUUCUAGCGGUGGUGAAAGAUUCCAACAGAGCUUGGAGUCUGAUUUGCUGCUUCCAAAAAGGUAAACAUAUUUUCUCGUUAUUUCUUUAGUUACUUCUUCUUCUUCUUCUUCUUCACGUUAGUAGCAAUUUUCAUCUGUCAUCAUAGUAAUAGUGGAAUUAUUUGCUGUAGAUAGACUUGAACGUCAUAGGUUUUUGUGAUGAAAGUUAUAGCUGAUGUAUUAUUGAUGUUCUGAAUUUUUUUGCUUCACAGUUUUGAUUUUACUUUCAUUUUGAUGUUGCUUAUUAGCUUCAAAUCUUCGUCCUUUGAAUAUUGUUUUUGUGUUGCUUGAUCAUUUUUCCUUAUUUAUCUAAUAUUUACUUAUUUUAGUCUUUCUUCUAGUUCACUGUUUUAGAUUGAGGUGUGCAGUUUCAAGUAUUUAGUUCAUUAUUUCAUCCUAUUGGUGCUUGUUAAUCUCUAACCCGCUAAUUUCGACAUUAAGUUCUUUCUUUUCCACAGUAUUUCUUGUUUCAAAUUUUAAUCUACUGUUAUAGAUCAAUUAGCAUUAUAUAGUGUGGCAGUCAUAAACUUCCAGUGUAUAUUAAUCCUUUGUUAGAGUUACUGAUAUUCUCGACAGUAAAUAGAAAUUAAUUGUGUUUUCAACUUUAUUAUAAUUGAAUAUACAUUAUUUUUUGUUUACUGUCUCAUGAUCUUUAAGCACAAUUUCAUAUUAUUUUAUUUGAAUUAGUUACCUUAUAUUCUGGAUAAAUAUUAACUUGCCAUUUUUUUUGUGGCAUGUGAAUUUGUUGGAGUCCAAUGAGACUUGCUACCCUUGAAUUUCUCUAACGAGCCAAGGGACCCACAUCCUCUUGAAUCAAGACCCAAUGCUGAAUUCUCAAAUGGAUUGAUAUAAUGUCAAUAUACGUGAUAUAUGGUGAUAUUGUGUACAUGUGCAGUAAGUUAAGGUAGCUGAGUUGCGAAUUUUGAAGAAUGAAAUGGACUAAGCCCAAUGAUUGAGAAGUUUGAUUGGACUAUUUUUGAGGGGUUUGGCCCUUGGAAGGCCUAAAUCCAAGAGUCCUCAAUCAAAAUAUACCCUGAAAUUAAAAAAAAGUAUCAAAAUAUAUUAUAUAUUUAAAAUAUUA